RNAcentral lists this ribosomal RNA (399 nucleotides) under uncultured bacterium. RNAcentral's name for it is "bacterial SSU rRNA". It matches the Rfam family "Bacterial small subunit ribosomal RNA", at positions 64 to 507 of the family's 1533-position model. The record is from RNAcentral.
GAGCGGCCGUAGCAAUACGGCAGCGGCAGACGGGAGAGUAACACGUGGGAACGCGCCCUUCGGUUCGGAAUAACUCAGGGAAACUUGGGCUAAUACCGGAUACGCCCUUACGGGGAAAGAUUUAUCGCCGAAGGAACGGCCCGCGUCCGAUUAGCUUGUUGGUGAGGUAACGGCUCACCAAGGCGACGAUCGGUAGCUGGUCUGAGAGGAUGACCAGCCUCACUGGGACUGAGACACGGCCCAGACUCCUACGGGAGGCAGCAGUGGGGAAUAUUGGACAAUGGGCGCAAGCCUGAUCCAGCCAUGCCGCGUGGGUGAUGAAGGCCCUAGGGUUGUAAAGCCCUUUCGGCGGGGAAGAUAAUGACGGUACCCGCAGAAGAAGCCCCGGCUAACUUCGUG